GGGAUGGGCACCCCCCACUUGUCCUCCGCCAGUCGUGUCGCCUCGUCCUGGGUCCGAGGGGUCCGACGAACGCACGCACUCUACUCUCUUCCUCGAUCGCUGUCCACCCGUCACCGCCACCGCCGGCCUCCGCACAUGCGUCUUCGGUGACUCUUCCCCCACCGCCACGCCGACGCCGUCGUCGAGCUAAAAACUCACACGGAACCGCACUGCCACGCCACCACCACAUGUACUGUACUACUAGCUAGGUGCCGCGGCUCGCUCGCGACCGAGAUGAAGGAAGCCAAGUGGUCCGCGCCGAAGCCGAUGAUGGGCGGCGGGAGGCGCGCCGCCGCUCCCAAUUACUCCCUACUCGCCACCUCCCCUCCCACAAGCAUCAGCAACGACGCCUGCUCGCCGCACUACCCUCCACCGCCUUCCCACGACGACGCCGCCUCCUCGUUCGAGCCGCCUCAGCGCCACAGCCCGCAGCUCGGCGUGGCGGAUUGGCAGCGCCAGUCCAGCGGGAGCAGCGUGGGCGGCGACGACGCGGACGGGUACUCCUCCGUCUCCACCACCGUCGCCAAUGCGGAGAGCAAGGCCAACAACGCGGGCGCAGCGGAUCGGCCGCCGGACAGCAGCAGCGGCGGCAAGAGCUGGGCGCAGCAGGCGGAGGAGGCCUACCAGCUCCAGCUCGCCCUCGCGCUCCGCCUCUGCUCCGACGCCGCCUCCGCCGCCGACCCAAACUUCCUCGACUCCUCCUCCGCCCCUGAGCACCACCACCACCACACCGCCACCUCCCUCUCCCACCGCUUCUGGGUCAAUGGCUGCCUGUCCUACUCCGACAAGCUCUCUGACGGCUUCUACCUCAUCCAGGGGAUGGAUCCCUUCAUAUGGACGCUCUGCACCGACGUGCAGGACGGCGGACGCAUCCCGUCCAUCGACUCCCUCAGGGCUCUCAACCCCACCGAAUCCUCCCUUGAGGUGGUCAUCGUAGACAAGGUGGCCGACUACGACCUGAGGCAGCACAUAAGCACCGCCAUUGACGUUUCUCGGACCUGUGCAGACUCCAAGGAAAUUACCGCUCGCCUCGCCGGCAUUGUGUCGGUGAAGAUGGGGGGUUCACUAACAUCUACUGAAGAACACGAGUUGGUUCCCCGAUGGACAGACUGCGCUGGGUUCCUCAAGAUUACCUCAGCUUCUCUCGUGCUUCCAAUUGGCAAGUUAUCAGUUGGCCUAUGCUGCCACCGAACGUUGCUGUUCAAGGCCAUAGCAGAUUCUAUCAAUCUUCCAUGUAGAAUUGUGAGGGGAUGCAAAUAUUGCAAAGCUGCUGGUGCCGCCUCUUGCUUGGUACGCUUUAGCACUGACAGGGAAUAUCUAGUUGAUUUGAUAGGGAACCCAGGCCUGUUGUCUGAACCUGACUCCCUCUUGAAUGGCCUCUCAUCGAUGUCCAUUUCUUCACCACUGCGGCCACCAAAACACAACUCAGUUGAUGUUGUUCAUAACUUCAAGUCAUUGGCCAAGCAAUAUUUCCUUGAUUGCAAAUCGCUAAAUCUAAUGUUCAAUGAUCCAGCAGCAGCUAUUGACUUAGAUGCGGCCAUGGGAUCAAAUCGUGGUCCAAACUCAUCACAUGCGACAAAUAGUGAUUUGCAAACUACCUUGUCCCAUAUUAAGGGCGAUGCUGGUAGAGAUGGAAAUUUUAUAAGGCAAAGAAGUUUCCCUGAAGAUAUUCUGUCUGGACAAAGAGACCCCUUCAGCGAUGUAUCUCUCAGCAUAGAAGACUUGAUUAUUCCAUGGAGCGAACUUGCUGUGAGAGAGAAAAUCGGUGCUGGUUCUUUUGGAACUGUGCACCGUGCUGAUUGGAAUGGCUCGGAUGUUGCUGUUAAGAUUCUAAUGGAUCAGGAUCUCCACCCAGAGCGUCUCAAAGAGUUUCUAAGAGAGGUUGCAAUCAUGAAAAGUCUGCGACAUCCAAACAUUGUUCUUCUUAUGGGUGCUGUUACUCAGCCACCUAACCUUUCAAUUGUGACCGAAUAUCUAUCAAGAGGUAGCCUAUACAGACUUCUACACAGGCAUGGCGCAAGGGAAAAUCUAGAUGAGAGACGGUGCUUGAGUAUGGCUUUUGAUGUGGCAAAGGGGAUGAAUUAUCUUCAUAAGCGCAAUCCUCCAAUAGUCCAUCGAGAUCUGAAGUCACCAAACCUGUUGGUUGACAAAAAGUACACAGUGAAAGUUUGUGACUUUGGACUCUCUAGAUUGAAGGCAAACACAUUUUUGUCUUCCAAGACUGCAGCAGGGACUCCUGAGUGGAUGGCACCAGAAGUUCUACGUGAUGAGCCAUCAAACGAGAAGUCUGAUGUGUACAGCUUCGCUGUCAUCCUAUGGGAGCUCAUGACAUUGCAGAAACCAUGGAGUAAUUUAAAUCCAGCUCAGCCUGUUAUUUCACCUGCAGGUGGUAGCAGCCGUUGGUUUCAGGGGACGAAGGCCUGAGAUUCCAAGUAGUGUUGAUCCAAAAGUGGCAGCUAUAAUUGAAUCCUGCUGGGCCAAAGAACCCUGGAGAAGACCCUCUUUUGCUACUAUCAUGGAGUCCCUGAAACCACUUAUCAAGACGUUACCUCCUCAACUCCAAGAGGAAAAUUAGCUGCCUCCCAUGAGGUUCCUCCUGGUUCCUGGAUAUCCCAAACAUGUGAACAUUUUGAUAACUUACCCAGCAAAAAGUUGACUAUAUAUCUGAUCUAUUGAUUUUAGAGGUACAGCCCUUGUUAGCGCAUAGUUGCAUCUGUAUUGUUAUGUGUGGAAAUCAAUUAAAGUUAUAUUUCUUACAUAGGGCCACAUUUGUCAUUAGUUCCUUCAACAUAUGUAUUCACCUUUCACCCUACAAAAAACAAGCAAUCUCUUUGAAUAGAGCCACUUAGUUUGUGCGUAUAUGUAAUCUUCAUUAUUUGGUUCCUAGAUCGUGCUAACAUCACAGCUUGUAAAUGUUGUUGUAGUUGUUCACUGUCACGGCACACACGACUU
This is an RNA transcript of Lolium perenne, 2991 nucleotides long. It is a transcript of the gene named serine/threonine-protein kinase CTR1, with no coding region annotated. The record is from RefSeq and is a predicted model, not a curated record. Lineage: Eukaryota; Viridiplantae; Streptophyta; Magnoliopsida; Poales; Poaceae.